UACGGAGGGGGCUAGCGUUGUUCGGAAUUACUGGGCGUAAAGCGCACGUAGGCGGAUUGGUAAGUCGGGGGUGAAAUCCCGGGGCUCAACCCCGGAACUGCCUCCGAAACUUCCAGUCUGGAGUCCGGGAGAGGCGAGUGGAAUUCCGAGUGUAGAGGUGAAAUUCGUAGAUAUUCGGAGGAACACCAGUGGCGAAGGCGGCUCGCUGGUCCGGUACUGACGCUGAGGUGCGAAAGCGUGGGGAGCAAACAGG
This 253-nucleotide ribosomal RNA is filed under the name uncultured bacterium. RNAcentral's name for it is "partial 16S ribosomal RNA". It matches the Rfam family "Bacterial small subunit ribosomal RNA", at positions 524 to 776 of the family's 1533-position model. The record is from RNAcentral.